GUACGAGAGGACCGGAGUGGACGCAUCACUGGUGUUCGGGUUGUCAUGCCAAUGGCACUGCCCGGUAGCUAAAUGCGGAAGAGAUAAGUGCUGAAAGCAUCUAAGCACGAAACUUGCCCCGAGAUGAGUUCUCCCUGAGACUUUAAGUCUCCUGAAGGAACGUUGAAGACGACGACGUUGAUAGGCCGGGUGUGUAAGCGCAGCGAUGCGUUGAGCUAACCGGUACUAAUGAACCGUGAGGCUUAACCUUACAACGCCGAAG
Molecule: ribosomal RNA, 262 nt
Filed under: Klebsiella pneumoniae
Lineage: Bacteria; Pseudomonadati; Pseudomonadota; Gammaproteobacteria; Enterobacterales; Enterobacteriaceae
Description: partial 23S ribosomal RNA
Rfam family: Bacterial large subunit ribosomal RNA
Source: RNAcentral